ACUGAUUUAACAUAUUUUAAUGUGGAGGGUUGUAAACUCUUUUAAAGUCUGUAAGAUUAAUCAGGA
This 66-nucleotide transfer RNA is filed under the name Versteria mustelae. RNAcentral describes it as "tRNA-Tyr". Lineage: Eukaryota; Metazoa; Platyhelminthes; Cestoda; Cyclophyllidea; Taeniidae. The record is from RNAcentral.